GACGAACGCUGGCGGCGUGCUUAACACAUGCAAGUCGAACGGAAAGGCCCUGCUUUUGUGGGGUGCUCGAGUGGCGAACGGGUGAGUAACACGUGAGUAACCUGCCCUUGACUUUGGGAUAACUUCAGGAAACUUGGGCUAAUACCGGAUAGGAGCUCCUGCUGCAUGGUGGGGGUUGGAAAGUUUCGGCGGUUGGGGAUGGACUCGCGGCUUAUCAGCUUGUUGGUGGGGUAGUGGCUUACCAAGGCUUUGACGGGUAGCCGGCCUGAGAGGGUGACCGGCCACAUUGGGACUGAGAUACGGCCCAGACUCCUACGGGAGACAGCAGUGGUGAAUAUUGCACAAUGGGCGGAAGCCUGAUGCAGCAACGCCGCGUGCGGGAUGACGGCCUUCGGGUUGUAAACCGCUUUCGCCUGUGACGAAGCGUGAGUGACGGUAAUGGGUAAAGAAGCACCGGCUAACUACGUG
RNAcentral lists this ribosomal RNA (468 nucleotides) under uncultured bacterium. Its description in RNAcentral is "partial 16S ribosomal RNA". It matches the Rfam family "Bacterial small subunit ribosomal RNA", at positions 28 to 507 of the family's 1533-position model. The record is from RNAcentral.